This 69-nucleotide transfer RNA is filed under the name Marmota monax (woodchuck). RNAcentral describes it as "tRNA.Ala". Lineage: Eukaryota; Metazoa; Chordata; Mammalia; Rodentia; Sciuridae. The record is from RNAcentral.
GGGGCUGGGGCUCAGUGGUAGAGGGCUCACCUAGCAGGUGUGAGGCCCUGGGUUCCAUCCUCAGCCCCA